GAACGCGUGGAGCAUGGGGUUAAUUUGACUCAACGCGGGAAAUCUUACCGGGUCCGGACACACUGAGGAUUGACAGGCGAAAGAGCUUCGGCUCUGUAAAUAUGCUAGUCCUUUCAUGAUUGUGUGAUAGGUGGUGCAUGGCCGUUCUUAGUUCGUGGAAUAUUCUGUCUGCUUAAUUGCGUCUUCUCAUCGGUACGACCCUUCAUUAAGGUGUUUCAUGUUGGGGCAGACUUCGGUUUGUUUUUUCCGACUGAUCACCGAAGGUGUACGUACUUUUUGCAACGAACGUGACAUCAACCCUUCUUUUUUUGUGGCCAGUUUCGGAAGGAAGAGAUGAUCAAGUCGCUUCGGUGAUUUGUAAAUCUUUUUCUAUUCGUUUUUAGUUGGAAUACAUUACAGAAGGGGACUGCCAGCUCAAGCUGGAGGAAGGUUGAUGCGAUAACAGGUCUGUGAUGCCCUUAGAUGUUCCGGGCCGCACACGUGCUACAAUGAUCUAUGCAGUAAGCAUAUAUUCAAAUCUGUUUUUUUCGAUUUUAUUAUCUUAAAAACAGUAAACCUACUUCGAAAAGUCAGUAGGUAAUCAUUUCUAAGUAUAGAUUUCCUUUGAAGCUUUUUCUGUGACUAUCUUUUGGUAGUUCACGAUUGCUCUUAUUUGUAGACUUCAUAGUGGGGACAGACCUUUGUUAAUUGUUGGUCUCGUUUUCAACUAGGAAUGCCUUGUACGGGUCUUUGGUUCAACAAACCACCCGGAAUACGUCCCUGCCCUUUGUACACACCGCCCGUC
Molecule: ribosomal RNA, 784 nt
Filed under: Foraminifera environmental sample
Lineage: Eukaryota; Foraminifera
Description: SSU rRNA
Rfam family: Eukaryotic small subunit ribosomal RNA
Source: RNAcentral